This 2176-nucleotide long non-coding RNA is filed under the name Vitis vinifera (wine grape). RNAcentral's name for it is "long non-coding RNA (VVIN_LNC004792)". The record is from RNAcentral. Lineage: Eukaryota; Viridiplantae; Streptophyta; Magnoliopsida; Vitales; Vitaceae.
GAACUUCACACGGAGAAUCUCUGAUGUCACCAAAGCCUUCUCUAGGGAUUUUUCAAUGCCCUUUUCCCAAUUCUCACCUUUUUCUCUCUUUUUUCAUAACUUCAAAACCACCCCUCCUGUGUCCUCUUGUACUCAGAUUUCACCACACAGAGAUCCAAUAAUCUUCAAGCUCUCUGGAAUUGAGUUUGGGUGCCAAAAAUAGACUUACAUCCCCAACAACAACGCCGAUCUUUGGAUUACCUUUCUAAAACUAAGGGCGUUUCCGAGAGAUUGGAGGCACUGGAUGAUGAUCUUGACUCUUGAGAAGUUAGAGCAAGAGAUGGUCAAGAUGAAUGACUACAAAAACAAAUCCUUAUUGCACAUUGAUUCUCAAGUAUGGUAGGCUAUCUUCUAGGGGGUUCUUUGAAGUUUUUACUUUUAAUGAUUCUGAUCAAUCGGUAAUUGUUUAUUUACUUUAUUUUCUUGUUUUCUUGGUUCCAACUGUUGAGGUUUUCAAAAAGGAAGAUGAGAAGAGUAGUGAAAUAUGGAAUCUGAAGAAUCUAAGAGGCCAGUGCUGAAGGAGUUCCUGCCAUUAAAGAGAAAUUUUGACUAGGAGGAACAAAGUGCAGUAAUACUGGAGAAAAACGGCAGAGGGAAGAACAAGAUGAACUCUGAUCACAAAAAGAGACAGAAAUCAGCCACAUAAAUUCAAAGGUAAACACUAAACAAUUUUUUCCUUUUUUUCCUCUAAUGUUUGUGGGGGUUACGGACUAGAACAUUGCAACACAAAAACCAUUUCACCCCUGCCAAUUAAGCAAAGGAACAAUCAUUACAUUAUUCAAGGCCAAUGACCCCACUUUUCUGCCAACCUCACCAACAGCAAGACAUGGAGGUUGAAGAAGGACCAAAUCGAUCCCUUCUUCUUCCCAGAAACUAAGGACACAAACUGGGUUGCAACUCCCAUGCAGACCCAUGGGCAAUGGUGCCACUUAUAGGCUCUGAAUGAAUGGCCAAAGCAGAAAGGAGGAACAGUAGGCAACCUGGAAGAACAACAGAAGAUGCCAGUCAGCAGAGCAGCAUGCUAGUUUCAUGGCCACCAUGGAGCUCCUUGGUGACCCAGAAAGUUAUAUUUCAGUAUUAGAGAAUCAUGAAUCUGAAUUUAUCUUUUGUGAGAGUUUUAGCCUCUUUAGAAUCUCAAACUUUACAGACAAUGAAGAGAAAAGGGAAAGGGAACAAAAAUAUAAACUCAAGAUUAUUUUCUAAUAUGAUCCAUUUCUUAAGAAAACACAAAGCCUACAAAUUUUGAACCGUAGAGAAAUUUGCAGAAUGUUAACUAUACUUCACUUUCUUUUAUUUUUUUCUUAAUUAAAUAAGACAGUUAAAUUUCUUAGAAAUUUUAUUCCUUAAAACCAUUUUUUUUUCUCCCUUUCCCUUUCUCUUUCCCUUUCCCCUUCAGUUUCGGAGAACUGGAUACGAAAAUUUGUGAAAGGGCAUUUUGAAACUAUAAAAACAAAUUUCAAAAAACACAAAAUUUCAAAUGUUAUUAUUAGAUUUAAGUUUCCAACGCACUUUCAAUUGCAACGAAAUAAGAGAAUUGAAUUAUCAUCUAAUUUUUCUUUUUCCAUUCCUCACCAAUUUCCAAGAUUUUAUAUGAAAAUGAAGAACACCUGUUUCAGAGAAUGUAGUCCUACUCUACAAAACAUCGCAUGGUACGGUAAGUUUCUUCUUUGCUAGACCUCAUGCAUACCUAAAUUAGGGUUUCUUUUCUCUCUACCAUCUUUGAUAGUUGAACAUUUAGGGUAUCUGGGUUCAAAAGUAGGAUUGUUUAUUUCAAGAAAAUUUGAAGAAAAAGAAUCAUAAAAUUUAUCACUAAAUUGCAUUAUUCAAAGGGAUAUCAAACGAAUUUGAGGAAAAAAAAAAAGGAAAGAAAGCAGCAUCGAGCCAUACCUUUCCCAAUGCAAUGGGCAUGGUGAAUCUGAAUCAUGGACCAGUGUCAUGAAUAAUGCAAAUUCACCAUCCCUUCCAGUAUUUUAUUAUCAAACAGUAAACCCUAGGCCCUGUUGCAGGAGGCUGUGUGAGGGAGAGAAGCGAGACUGCUGUGUAUUCUAGAUGUGAGGGCCCUAAGAUCCCUAAAUGUAAUUGUUUUUAUAGAGUCCCUACAUUUUUUCUUAUUUAUCAUGCGGUUCAUAUAUAUUUA